GACGAACGCUGGCGGCGUGCUUAACACAUGCAAGUCGAACGGAAAGGCCCAGCUUGCUGGGUGCUCGAGUGGCGAACGGGUGAGUAACACGUGGGUGAUCUGCCUCUAACUUCGGGAUAAGCUUGGGAAACUGGGUCUAAUACCGGAUAGGACAAUCGUUUAGUGUCGGUUGUGGAAAGUUUUUUCGGUUAGGGAUGAGCCCGCGGCCUAUCAGCUUGUUGGUGGGGUAAUGGCCUACCAAGGCGUCGACGGGUAGCCGGCCUGAGAGGGUGGACGGCCACAUUGGGACUGAGAUACGGCCCAGACUCCUGCGGGAGGCAGCAGCGGGGAAUAUUGCACAAUGGGCGCAAGCCUGAUGCAGCGACGCCGCGUGGGGGAUGACGGCCUUCGGGUUGUAAACCUCUUUCGACAGGGACGAAGCUUUGGUGACGGUACCUGUAGAAGAAGCACCGGCUAACUACGUG
RNAcentral lists this ribosomal RNA (464 nucleotides) under uncultured bacterium. RNAcentral's name for it is "partial 16S ribosomal RNA". It matches the Rfam family "Bacterial small subunit ribosomal RNA", at positions 28 to 507 of the family's 1533-position model. The record is from RNAcentral.